Molecule: ribosomal RNA, 490 nt
Filed under: uncultured bacterium
Lineage: Bacteria
Description: partial 16S ribosomal RNA
Rfam family: Bacterial small subunit ribosomal RNA
Source: RNAcentral
GAUGAACGCUAGCUACAGGCUUAACACAUGCAAGUCGCGGGGCAGCAUGGGGGUUGCUUGCAAUCCCCGAUGGCGACCGGCGCACGGGUGAGUAACGCGUAUCCAACCUGCCCUUCACCACGGGAUAACCCGGCGAAAGUCGGACUAAUACCGUAUGUUGUCCAUUGACGGCAUCCGAUUUGGACGAAAGGUUUGGCGGUGAAGGAUGGGGAUGCGUCCGAUUAGCUGGACGGCGGGGUGACGGCCCACCGUGGCGACGAUCGGUAGGGGUUCUGAGAGGAAGGUCCCCCACACUGAAACUGAGACACGGUCCAGACUCCUACGGGAGGCAGCAGUGAGGAAUAUUGGUCAAUGGGCGUAAGCCUGAACCAGCCAAGUAGCGUGCAGGAUGACGGCCCUAUGGGUUGUAAACUGCUUUUAUGCGGGGAUAAAGUGGCCCACGUGUGGGUUUUUGCAGGUACCGCAUGAAUAAGGACCGGCUAAUUCCGUG